Long non-coding RNA from Caretta caretta (loggerhead turtle), 431 nucleotides. RefSeq lists it as uncharacterized. Lineage: Eukaryota; Metazoa; Chordata; Testudines; Cheloniidae. The record is from RefSeq and is a predicted model, not a curated record.
UAGAAACAUUGGACUAUAACCUUUGAACUCUUUCUGAAAGAACGCUUUGCAUCUACAAAGCUCACCGUCUCUGCUAUGAAUCUGAAUCUCAAGAUUGACUCAUGUCUGGUACCUUGCUUUGGAGAUGACAUGAGAGCCCUGAUAUCUACUAAUACGAUGUCCUAUUUUAUCACCUCCAUCAAAAGCCACUUCAACACCAUCAACAGUUGAAGUAUGCUUACUCUGCAAGUCCUGCAAUAAUUCAAAUAAUUCUGAAAGUCCCCUGAAAAUCUUGGCUGUAAAGAAUCAUUGAUAUCUCUGGAAAAUUGAGAAAAUUGCAUUUGGAAACAAUUCUAUUUAGACAUGAUUAAGGACCAGUCCAAGCUCUGGUAAUGGCAAACAAGAAGGUCUAUUGAGGCCAAAAAGUGUGAAGUACAGGUCCACAGCACCAC